Molecule: ribosomal RNA, 768 nt
Filed under: uncultured bacterium
Lineage: Bacteria
Description: bacterial SSU rRNA
Rfam family: Bacterial small subunit ribosomal RNA
Source: RNAcentral
AUUGAACGCUGGCGGCAGGCCUAACACAUGCAAGUCGAGCGGCAGCGACUUAACUGAACCUUCGGGGAACGUUAAGGGCGGCGAGCGGCGGACGGGUGAGUAAUGCCUGGGAAUAUGCCCUGAUGUGGGGGAUAACUAUUGGAAACGAUAGCUAAUACCGCAUAAUCUCUUCGGAGCAAAGAGGGGGACCUUCGGGCCUCUCGCGUCAGGAUUAGCCCAGGUGGGAUUAGCUUGUUGGUGAGGUAAUGGCUCACCAAGGCAACGAUCCCUAGCUGGUCUGAGAGGAUGAUCAGCCACACUGGAACUGAGACACGGUCCAGACUCCUACGGGAGGCAGCAGUGGGGAAUAUUGCACAAUGGGGGAAACCCUGAUGCAGCCAUGCCGCGUGUGUGAAAAAGGCCUUCGGGUUGUAAAGCACUUUCAGUAGGGAGGAAGGUAGUGUAGUUAACACCUGCAUUAUUUGACGUUACCUACAGAAGAAGCACCGGCUAACUCCGUGCCAGCAGCCGCGGUAAUACGGAGGGUGCGAGCGUUAAUCGGAAUUACUGGGCGUAAAGCGCAUGCAGGCGGCCUGUUAAGUCAGAUGUGAAAGCCCGGGGCUUAACCUCGGAAUUGCAUUUGAAACUGGCAGGCUAGAGUCUUGUAGAGGGGGGUAGAAUUUCAGGUGUAGCGGUGAAAUGCGUAGAGAUCUGAAGGAAUACCAGUGGCGAAGGCGGCCCCCUGGACAAAGACUGACGCUCAGAUGCGAAAGCGUGGGGAGCAAACAG